RNAcentral lists this small nuclear RNA (193 nucleotides) under Diplodia corticola. RNAcentral describes it as "Botryosphaeria corticola U2 spliceosomal RNA". It matches the Rfam family "U2 spliceosomal RNA". Rfam says of the family: U2 is a small nuclear RNA (snRNA) component of the spliceosome (involved in pre-mRNA splicing). Complementary binding between U2 snRNA (in an area lying towards the 5' end but 3' to hairpin I) and the branchpoint sequence (BPS) of the intron results the bulging out of an unpaired adenosine, on the BPS, which initiates a nucleophilic attack at the intronic 5' splice site, thus starting the first of two transesterification reactions that mediate splicing. The record is from Rfam by way of RNAcentral. Lineage: Eukaryota; Fungi; Ascomycota; Dothideomycetes; Botryosphaeriales; Botryosphaeriaceae.
UCAGCUCUCUUUGCCUUCGGGCUUAGAUCAAGUGUAGCCAAUGGCUUUCUUAGUUUAAUCUCUAGGACGUCUCUACGGAGAUAUUACCUUGAUUUUCUGAUUUUUGGAACCAGGCACUGGGGCGCUGAGCUUGCUCAUCUCCAGAGCCACUGUGCCGCCUGUAUUGCACUGUCUCGGGCUGGCGCGAACCUUU